RNAcentral lists this ribosomal RNA (253 nucleotides) under uncultured bacterium. Its description in RNAcentral is "partial 16S ribosomal RNA". It matches the Rfam family "Bacterial small subunit ribosomal RNA", at positions 524 to 776 of the family's 1533-position model. The record is from RNAcentral.
UACGUAGGGACCGAGCGUUGUCCGGAAUCAUUGGGCGUAAAGAGCGUGUAGGCGGCCACUUAAGUCCUGCGUGAAAUCUUGCGGCUCAACCGCAAGCGGUCGUGGGAAACUGGGUGGCUAGAGUGCGGGAGAGGAGAGUGGAAUUCCUGGUGUAGCGGUGGAAUGCGCAGAUAUCAGGAGGAACACCGGUGGUGUAGACGGCUCUCUGGACCAUAACUGACGCUGAUGCACGAAAGCUAGGGGAGCAAACAGG